Molecule: long non-coding RNA, 3720 nt
Organism: Chelonia mydas (Green sea turtle)
Lineage: Eukaryota; Metazoa; Chordata; Testudines; Cheloniidae
Exons: 2
Source: RefSeq, a predicted model, not a curated record
UGCUGUUGACUUUUUUGACCACCCACCUCAACCAAAAAAGUCCAUCCUCAAGCAGGGAGGAGAUGACCUGGACCAUCUUGCUAUUUCUCAGAGUUCUUGCCAGUUUUAGUAGCUAUGCACCAUAGUUCACAGUUUCAUCAGCAGCUGACAGAUAAACAAGAUUCUAAACCAUUUUAGAUGUAUUGAGCUAGGUUUGCAACUUUGCCAUAGCGUGAAUAUCCUAGGGAGAAGCCAGCUUGGUCAUCAGUCAGCUACCUUUCCACUAUUGGUGCUAUUCUACCCAUUAUAAUUCUCUCAUUUGGCUUGUAGGUUGAGCAAUGUAUGGAUGUUGGGUGGUAGCUCUUUGCAGAGUUAAGGUUUUUAUGUGAUUUAAGUAGUGCAGCCACUUGUCUGCUCCACAUCCUGGGUAUCUGCAUUGUCUCCAUGCAAGAAUUAAAGAAGACAAGCAGCCACUUCUAUAUUCCUGUGCCAAAGUAAUAAUAAUUAGACACACCAUCAAGUCCAGUUGCCUUUCCACAUUUCAGUUUCAUGUAUUUGUUUUCUUGCACAGGAGAACAAGUGUAUGAAACUGAAACCUUAUUGCUUAAGGGCUGACCCUUUUUCUUGGUAACAUUUUAGUGCUGUUUAUAGCAGUGGAACAUCACAUUCAUAAUUCUGGCUCUGUUCCAAGAUGUGAGUUCACAAAAUGAAACCCCCUGAAGACUGAUGCUUGGUUCUUUUGAGCAUGGACAUACUAUAACUAAAAUAAUAAAUAUAUAUUUAGACAACUAGAAAAAUUGCUCUAGGAAACUAAUGGAAAUUGUUUUUCAACCAAGUAGAAAAGUCUUGGUCUUCAAAAUAGGUAUGCAGAUUUUGUCAUUUUGUUCUUCAGUGCCUUUGAGCAACUGAAGAACUUUAUUCAUACUGAGAUUCCUUCAGUCACCAUUUUCUUUUUCUGUCUGGUAUAUUUUUAAAAUGUUGCAUACAAGUAACAGUAGAAGCGAGAAUGUGCAUACACAAACUUCCGCUUCAAAGAUCCGUGCAGUGGGGUGCUAGAGCAAAACAGAUUUUGAGAGAAAAGUCUGCAGUGGCUUUCCUGGGACACAAGAGAGAGAAGGACCACACAUCUAGCAAAGAAAUAAAAGAUGGAGAUACAUAUUCAGUGGAAUAGAGGUUUGACCAGUCUGAAAUGUAGUAGGGCUGUGGCAGAGGAGCCUAGGAACUUGCUGAGGUGUGGACAGAACUAGUCAGUAGUGUGGGUUUCCUCAUAAUUGAACUCUACAUCUAACCACCUUUGCUCUUUAUAUUCAUACUGUCAGCAUAGUGUGUUGGAAGGUUAAAAAGUCCAAAGUUUAACUUAGUAAAUUUACUGACUUUUACUUGCAAGAACAUAAUGUGAAGUGAGCAAAACCAUUCCAAGUUACUUAGUGUGUCUUCCAAUUGCCUUGCAUUUUAGAAUAGUCUGCUGCUUAAUCGUUCCGUCAUUUAAGAUUUGUAAUAAGUUUUAUUUAUAAAUAGUAUAUUUAAGUGUGUCCAUUUAAAAUUAUUUUUUCUAAAUAGAAUUGUUAGCUUAACAUUUGGGCAAAGGAGGAAAAUCCUUUAACCCAGUAGUUCUCAAACUUUUGUACUAGUGACCCCUUUCACACAGCUAGCCUCUGAGUGCAACCCCCCCUUAUAAAUUAAAAACACUUUAAAAAAUAUUUAACACUAUUAUAAAUGCUGGAGGUGAAGUGGGGUUUGGGGUGGAGGCUGACAGCACACAAAUCUCCCUUCCCCCACGUAAUAACCUCACGACCCCCACUUUGAAAACCCCUGCUUAACCAUUUAUAUGCUUUUACUGUAAUGCUUCAGAAUGAUUGCUUAAUUUUAUCAGAAAGCCUAGCGAUAAGUAUUGCAUAAUACAGAAUUGGUUCCGAAAUAAGGAAAUAAUCAUUCUGUAUUGCUUAUUUGUGUCCCUGUCCACACACAGGGAAGAAUUCUAAAGUAAAUGAUCAAACUGCCUCUUUCUGCCAGUAGUUGUGUGGAAAGACAAAGUCCUCUUCUACCUAAAGAUUUUUCUUCGUGUAGUUGUUGUGUUUAAAUCUGACAAGAAGAGUGGCACCUGGGAAAAAGCUAGGAGCAAUAUAGAACUGUUUCUGUUUUUACCUCCAAAUACUUAAGAAUGCUCUUCGUCUUCCUUCAUUGGCCUUGCUUACAAUAAUCCAAAGCAAUGUCAUUAAAAUGUAUGCUGCUUGAGCCAAAUUCUCUUCUGUUCUACUGGUCUAACAGCAGAUUUUGGUCUUCCUUGUUUCAUUCAGAAGUUGGCUGCAGUCAGUAUUAAGGAUGAAACUAUAGACUGUUUUCUAAAAGAUGAUAAUUUGAUAAUGACUUCAUAAGGAAACUUGAAGUUUCACUUGUCUAGUAUUAACUUGUCACCUCCUAGACUUUGUGCAUUGUGGUCAUGUGUGAGUGAGUGAAUCUUGCCACUUUCCUUUUAAGUUCUUUAACGUCUUCAGCUGUUUGGUCACUCCCUUAUUAGUAAUGAGAAAACCUUUGUCACUGGUUUUGGUGGCCUAUGUAAUGAUGGUAAUCUCAUCUGCUUUCCAGGUGUCCCACCACAAGUGGAAUCCUUGUUACCAGUCUUGACAGAGACCAAGGAUAGAAUAGGUACAAGAGACUGAUCCACCUCCUUAGCUCAGGAUGGAUCAUGGGUCUGUUCCAAUAUGGAAAUUCCACUUGCUCUUCUGACAAAUGCCAGCUCAAAAUCCCCAUAAUGCACCUUGUCAAAGACCUGUGCCAUAAGCAUUGGAUUGUUUCAUAACAGGGAUGCCUUAGACAAUUUAAUUGAUUAUUUUACCUUUGUUACCACCACUCAGUUUAACAUUCUGGGGCAGAGGGUAGCUCCCCCUGUAUCUGUCCACCAUUUCUCUAUUUCAGUGCAGUGUCCCCCAUGUCUCCAGCAUAGGGUGGUGAGGAUGUCAGUGAAAGCCUCUUAUCUUCUGUACCCUCUAACAGCAAGCAUUAAUUAAUGUAAACCAAAAUGAUGGACUUAUUUACACAUUUUUUUUGUUUAGAUUUACAUGAUACCUGAUACACUUAUCUAAGGCCCUAAGCACGUGUAUCAUGAAGUCAUCAGCACUUUCCUCUAGAUCUUCUUGAAAGCACCGGUCUUAGAUCUCUUCCAGAUUUUAGGGAUCUGCCACUUACUUCGUAGAGCUACCCUUGCCCUCCCCCCCACCACCCCAUGUUUGAUUACUUGCAUUCAUCAGUAUCUUGCUUUUUUAAGCUCGACAGUAUGCACAAGAAUGUAAUUCUUGUAUUGUAGGUACCAAGUACAACCACUUAAGCCAGGACUGUGCUAGUAAGAUUCCUAUUUUGUUGUUGAAAUAAAUUUUUAAUUUCUAUUUUAUACCCCAUGCCACCUGGACUCCUAUUCCUCCUUGUUCUCUUCCCUCACCCAUGGGCUUGAUUGUCUUUCUUGAUUUGGGCCACUACUUCCUUUCCUUGAUUGUCUUCAUCUGUGUUCCUUUUCUGUUCUGGAGCUUUCCUGGUGCAUGUUAUGGUUAUUGUCUGGCUUCAGAUUUUAAGUGUUUUGCUUGUGGCUAAACUAUUUUGAACUUUCUUCUAUUAAACAGGCUUAUUCUGAAGUUUAAAAAGUAGAGUGGGGACAGCAUAGUGUGUGUGUGUGUGUAUGUAUGUAUGUAUAUUAGGGCUGUCGAUUAAUCAGUUAACUCACACAAUUAACUCAAAUUAAUCGGGAUU